CUGGACUGUGCAUGAUACAUCUUGACUUCCUGCUGAUGUUCUGCUGCACAGUGACGCCGCUCUGGAUCAGCUUUAAAGGUCAGCUUGUGGUCGGACAUCCACACAUUUCAAAGAGCGCUGCCUUACGAAAUAUUAACCGGAGCCCCACUGUGACAGGCUUUGUCCAUUGACAGAUGACAGACCUAUGUGAUGGUUGAGGGGGUGUUGGAGUGACAUGUGCCGGCAGGCGCCACUGCCUGAUAAGAGCUGCAAGUAAAAUAAGAAUCAUCCCAGGACUACACAACAGGACUAGGUUAAUGACCUGAAAAGAGCUGGGACCGUUUCCAAGCACAUGGGGUGUUUGGUGAAUAUUUAAUGAGCGUGCUAAAAACAUUCCUGAUGGAAGCCAUUGCCGACGUUAACCACGCGUCGGCCAAGACAUGGGCGGAAAAAUGAGUCUGCUGGCCUCUUGUCUCAUCUUGCGCAUCAAGUCACAAACCAAGACGGUAUCGAUCCAGCGUGGGUCUGCGGGGGAAGGGAAGCUGGUAGCCGCGACCUUAGCCCUCCUUUGAUGCUGCUGAAAAGUCAAAUCAACACCACUGUUUGGACUACUACAACAACAGCGACACAGCAGUCUGAAAACAAGUACCAAUAAUUCAUCCAUCAAUCCAUUUUCUUUUGCUGCUUAUCCUGACAAGGUUCGCGGGGAGUGCUGCAGCCUAUCCUAGCUGUCAACAGGCAGGAGGCAGGGUACACCCCGCACUGGUUGCUGGCCAAUUGCAGGGCAUAUUGAGACAAACAGCCACACUCACAAUCACACCUACUGGCAAUUUAGAGUGUCCAAUUAAGGUUGCAUGUUUUUCGGAUGUGGGAGGAAACCAAAGGUCCCAGAGAAAACCCACGCAGGCACGGGGAGAACAUGGAAACUCCACACAGGCGGGGCCAGGAUCGUACCCUGGUCCUCAGAACUGCGAGGACAACACUUUACCAGCUGACCCACCGUGCCGACAGUACUGAUAAUUAUUCAAGUGAUAUUUAUCCAUCUAACAGUUAGUUAGUUAGUAGUUAGUUAGUUAGUUAGUUAGUUAGUUAGUUAGUUAGUUAGUUAGUUAGUUAGUUAGUUAGUCAAACUACCCUUUUAUUCUAUUUAGAAAAGAGCCUUUGGAUAUUAAUCAUGCCAACACAAACUACCCUAACAUACUCAUGACACAAAACUCAA
Long non-coding RNA from Syngnathoides biaculeatus (alligator pipefish), 1198 nucleotides. RefSeq lists it as uncharacterized. The record is from RefSeq and is a predicted model, not a curated record. Lineage: Eukaryota; Metazoa; Chordata; Actinopteri; Syngnathiformes; Syngnathidae. The transcript is spliced from 7 exons.